Molecule: long non-coding RNA, 2128 nt
Organism: Haliotis rubra (blacklip abalone)
Lineage: Eukaryota; Metazoa; Mollusca; Gastropoda; Lepetellida; Haliotidae
Exons: 3
Source: RefSeq, a predicted model, not a curated record
UUCCAUCAGUGGACAAUGCCGUCAUGUCGUUUGGUUCCGACACAAGUAGCACAGCCAUGUCGAGUAUCAAUGUUUCUAGACAUCAUAUAACUUUCAUUCCCUUCAAGGUUUGUUUAACACCGUGUCACGCUUUGGGAGACCGGUUUCUCUUCUAUAUAAACACGAAUGUCUACUUUAGCUGGCUGAACGCCAAACACAAACCAAACCUACAGAACCUUUGAGAAAUUGGCCACUUGUUUCAGACCGACGACUGACCAAUGCAAUCAGUCAACUGACCAGAGUAAGCACUGGCCACGUGCCGUGAGCAGACGACAGUCGCCCCUCCGCAGAAGUCAACUGCCAGGUGAGAUGUCUACACGAAGUAGUUCCCCUAAUGACGACCUUCACCAAUAUACCCAGGAAAGCACCUCCGUCGGAGCUGUUGGUGCGAUAGCUGCUGUAUGAGGGGAUGUUCCUGUCGUAGCUGCACACUAUACACAAGAACCCCUAGACUAUACUUUGUAAAGGUGGGACAAGAUUGGUGCGUGCUAACCUCGAUAUCAUGGAUUAGAUCAUGUUUGUACUUUUUGUCUAGUUUCAAUCAUAAAUAUUGUCCACUGCAUAAAUGACUUCACAUAACAAUAUUCCAGUAUAUAUUUUCUUGUUUUUCUUUUUGUUUUGUUUUUUGUGUGUUUGCUUUGAGAAUAAUGUUCAUUUUCAUAAUGUGGUUUUCUUAUUCAAAGUUCACUCUUUAGCUUCGAUUACCUUAUGAUGGCGUGACGUCAUAAUUGGAAUGGCGGACACAUAUACAGUUAUACUUACUCGUGCUUGUGCAAAUCAAUGCCUAUUUCUAAUACACAUGGCACAUUUAUCGCCAUUCUACCUACGUUAGUAGUAAUUCCAGAACUUAAACAGUCAAUGGUCCUAUUUGCCAUGUUUGUUUAAACCCAUACAGACACGACGGAGGCCUAAUAAUAACCAGGUAAAUAUUCCCUCAAGGUAAUUAGUCUAGUGUUAUGAUGAGCCAAUUCCUAGGCCUUCCGUUGUUACUGUCCUCACAUAUAUUUGCACAUGCGCAGUACAUGCACCAGAUUCUCAGUGCCGCUUGUCUGGGAUGGUCAUCGUUAAAAAUAUUCCCUCGUUUUUUUGGCCAUUUUUUCUUAUGCCGUUUUUGAUCUUGUAUUGCAAGAGAUUUCCCAGCGUCAAAGGUUGGACAAGUUUAAACAACGUGGCAGCAGAUCAUCUCCCUAUGUGUGGGCUGCUUGCAAACUGUUGUCACAUUAAACUUUAUUGUACUUUUUCCCUCCGUCCCAUGAAAAGUGUUAUUGUAGCGAAGCCCGUAGUCGGUAAACACGCAACUCGGGAUGAAACAAAGUGGAAUUCCAAACAUCGGCGCGCUCUAAAGCAGCAGUUGUCAAACACAGCAUGUAUAGCAAACACGAGCGUGUAUCAUUUCGCCUAUUGUUUCACCUUAAACAAAUAGCUCUCCACAGAAAGGGAUGUGAUCUCGUAGCGCCGUUUGCUCGGGUCCUCGGCUCAGCACUAACGAGACGGAGUGACAAAGACCAUAAACCGAAAAUCACAAUGGCCUCCACAACGAGGACAAGCAAUUCAAGGUAUUUCGGGCAGUAAAUCAUACAUCUCUCGUCAUCUUUCAGUUGUCAAAACGCCGCCAGGAUGAAAGAAUAAUCAUCAAGAUUGAAUGGCAUCCCUUGCAUGAUUAACAAUGGCAAUGCAUUUUUAAAGCUGGAAGCUGUACGUGUGUAUACAGCGGGAAGAAUAUGGUCUGUUCCCUGAGAAUGUCACGACUACAGCCGUUGCCAAGGGUAGGCUUGGCUGGUACCGCUACCAUAUGCCAGUGAGUGGAGACUGGUUCCACUUGCCUAUGGUACUGUCAACCGAGGAACCAUUGAUUACCAUGGUGUCUCCUGGGAUAUUUCUAAUUGAUCUCCAAUAGCAGUUUGGUGCGAUCUACCACAACUUACUGCAGAUCAAUGGAAUAAGAAAGUCCAUUCAUUUAGUCGUGGUUUCUCAUAUUGAUGCAUAAAUGACCAAAGGAUUUACAGAUAUCUGCCUUAUUUCCAUUUACACCGUUGCCUAGUAACUGAUGAAAUACAUGUAGUUCUGAAUAAAAUAUUUUGAAAAUAGA